UUGACAAGGGGGUAGAAAUCCUUUAUCUAUCUUCAGAACGGCAUGGGCAGUGGCAGUGACAGUCUCCCCACACUGCCCUGUCACUGUACCUCAAUGCUAACCUGCAGCUACGGUCCAUAGGGAUGGAGAGGGAUAAUUUACUGUCCACGGUGCAUUUACUUCUGGGCCGAC
Molecule: small RNA, 171 nt
Filed under: Chelonoidis abingdonii (Abingdon island giant tortoise)
Lineage: Eukaryota; Metazoa; Chordata; Testudines; Testudinidae
Description: TUC338 (ENSCABG00000007207.1)
Source: RNAcentral